GACGAACGCUGGCGGCGUGCCUAACACAUGCAAGUCGAGCGAGUGGAGUUCUUCGGAACAAAGCUAGCGGCGGACGGGUGAGUAACACGUGGGCAACCUGCCUCAUAGAGGGGAAUAGCCUCCCGAAAGGGAGAUUAAUACCGCAUAAGAUUGUAGCUUCGCAUGAAGUAGCAAUUAAAGGAGCAAUCCGCUAUGAGAUGGGCCCGCGGCGCAUUAGCUAGUUGGUGAGGUAACGGCUCACCAAGGCAUCGAUGGAUAGGGGAGCUGAGAGGCUUAUCCCCCACAUUGGGACUGAGACACGGCCCAA
RNAcentral lists this ribosomal RNA (307 nucleotides) under uncultured bacterium. RNAcentral's name for it is "bacterial SSU rRNA". It matches the Rfam family "Bacterial small subunit ribosomal RNA", at positions 28 to 334 of the family's 1533-position model. The record is from RNAcentral.